This 252-nucleotide ribosomal RNA is filed under the name uncultured bacterium. Its description in RNAcentral is "partial 16S ribosomal RNA". It matches the Rfam family "Bacterial small subunit ribosomal RNA", at positions 524 to 776 of the family's 1533-position model. The record is from RNAcentral.
UACGGAGGGUGCGAGCGUUAAUCGGAAUUACUGGGCGUAAAGCGCACGCAGGCGGUUUGUUAGCUAGAUGUGAAAGCCCCGGGCUCAACCUGGGAUGGUCAUUUAGAACUGGCAGACUAGAGUCUUGGAGAGGGGAGUGGAAUUCCAGGUGUAGCGGUGAAAUGCGUAGAUAUCUGGAGGAACAUCAGUGGCGAAGGCGACUCCCUGGCCAAAGACUGACGCUCAUGUGCGAAAGUGUGGGUAGCGAACAGG